GAUGAACGCUGGCGGCGUGCCUAAUACAUGCAAGUCGAGCGAACAGACGAGGAGCUUGCUCCUCUGACGUUAGCGGCGGACGGGUGAGUAACACGUGGAUAACCUACCUAUAAGACUGGGAUAACUUCGGGAAACCGGAGCUAAUACCGGAUAAUAUAUUGAACCUCAUGGUUCAAUAGUUCAAGACGGUUUUGCUGUCACUUAUAGAUGUAUCCGCGCCGCAUUAGCUAGUUGGUAAGGUAACGGCUUACCAAGGCAACGAUGCGUAGCCGACCUGAGAGGGUGAUCGGCCACACUGGAACUGAGACACGGUCCAGACUCCUACGGGAGGCAGCAGUAGGGAAUCUUCGGCAAUGGGCGAAAGCUUGACGGAGCAACGCCGCGUGAGUGAUGAAGGUCUUCGGAUCGUAAAACUCUGUUAUUAGGAAAGAACAAAUGUGGAAGUAACUAUGCACGUCUUGACGGUACCUAAUCAGAAAGCCACGGCUAACUACGUG
Molecule: ribosomal RNA, 497 nt
Filed under: uncultured bacterium
Lineage: Bacteria
Description: partial 16S ribosomal RNA
Rfam family: Bacterial small subunit ribosomal RNA
Source: RNAcentral